Mirounga angustirostris (Northern elephant seal) is the source of this 1141-nucleotide long non-coding RNA. RefSeq lists it as uncharacterized. Lineage: Eukaryota; Metazoa; Chordata; Mammalia; Carnivora; Phocidae. The transcript has 5 exons. The record is from RefSeq and is a predicted model, not a curated record.
GGCGGCUGGGGCCGGAGCGCCUUGGGGUGGGGGCAGCGACCUGCGACGUCCUCGCUUCCGGAUGAGCGAAGCGAGCUGAGCAACCCGGGCUAGCGCUUCGUUCUCUGCACUCGGGAGGCAGCCUCGGUCGCCCGUUGAGCCGUCUGGGAAACAGCGGCCCUGCGUGGGUUAGGAGGUGGCCUACGGCUAAGCCCCCAUCGGAGCCCAUGCCCACCUGACUGCCGGGUCCGUGGCCUUUCCUGUCUGGAAGUGUUCGCCGCCCCUGAGCCGCUCUAGGCUUAAUUUUAUUACCAUAGCAGCUGCCCCUCCAGUUCCUCUUAAAUGAUCCACGCGUUACAGCCCACAGAGCAGCGUCGCGCCUGUCACCUUAUCUUCCCAGCAACGCUUAGGUCAAGGAUCAUCAGCCUGCGGAUGGACCAAGUCCAGUUGGCCACCUGUUAUUAGAAACCAUAUCAUCUGCCCUGGAGACUGUUAUAAAAUAAGAGAUGUGGAAGACUUAACAGUUAAAUGCAAUACGUGGCUUUUGUUGGGAUCCUGAACCAAUAGUGUACUGACUGUAAAAAAAGACACCUUUGAGACCACCAGGGAGAUCUGAAUAUGGAUUGAGUAUCAGAGAGCAUGGGGAAGAAGAAAGAAAAGAAGAAGAAAGAAAAGGAAGAAAAGAAAAGAAGAAAAUGACUUCACUUGAAGGAGCUAUGGUAUCCUCACGGAAGAGAGCCAAGCUUUGGUGAAAGCGAGCAAGAGAAGCAAAAGUUCAGAGAAGGAAAUGAAGAGGUACCAGCUUCCCCUAUUGCCAUACCACCACCACAAAUUAAGCUAGAUGAGCAGAGGGGCUAGCAGAAGGUGACAGGAACUUGGUGACUACCAGCAUCAGCUGUUCACAUCACCACCCACAAGUAGGAGGACCACCAAUGAGUAGACAUGUUCACAUUCCUGAGAGAAGGGAUCACAUUAGCUCAAUUAGCUCAGGACCCUGAGAUCAAGACCUGAGCUGAGAUCAAGAGUUGGACGCUUAACCGACUGAGUCAUCCAGGUGCCCUAACUCAGCCUAUCUUUUAAUGACAGACUAUUGGUCCCUGGUCUCCUGUUGACCUACAGCCUUUGGGUAAGGUGCUUGCUUGCUCUGAUUGGAUUCACUGUA